This 450-nucleotide ribosomal RNA is filed under the name uncultured bacterium. RNAcentral describes it as "bacterial SSU rRNA". It matches the Rfam family "Bacterial small subunit ribosomal RNA", at positions 354 to 796 of the family's 1533-position model. The record is from RNAcentral.
GUAGGGAAUCUUCCACAAUGGACGAGAGUCUGAUGGAGCAACGCCGCGUGAGCGAAGAAGGUUUUCGGAUCGUAAAGCUCUGUUGCCGGAGAAGAACGGGCGGGAGAGGGAAUGCUCCCGUCGUGACGGUAUCCGGCGAGCAAGUCACGGCUAACUACGUGCCAGCAGCCGCGGUAAUACGUAGGUGGCGAGCGUUGUCCGGAAUUAUUGGGCGUAAAGGGCACGCAGGCGGCUGUUUAAGUCCGGUGUGAAAGGUUGCGGCUUAACCGCAAACGGGCACCGGAAACUGAAGAGCUUGAGGGCAGAAGAGGGGAGCAGAAUUCCACGUGUAGCGGUGAAAUGCGUAGAGAUGUGGAAGAAUACCGGUGGCGAAAGCGGCUCUCUGGUCUGCACCUGACGCUGAGGUGCGAAAGCGUGGGGAGCGAACAGGAUUAGAUACCCUGGUAGUCC